Molecule: ribosomal RNA, 207 nt
Filed under: uncultured bacterium
Lineage: Bacteria
Description: partial 16S ribosomal RNA
Rfam family: Bacterial small subunit ribosomal RNA
Source: RNAcentral
UGCGUAGGUGGCGCCGUCAGUGGGGUGUGAAAUUUCGGAGCUUAACUCCGAAACUGCAUUCCAUACUGCGGUGCUUGAGGAUUGGAGAGGAGACUGGAAUUCAUGGUGUAGCAGUGAAAUGCGUAGAGAUCAUGAGGAAGACCAGUGGCGAAGGCGGGUCUCUGGACAGUUCCUGACACUGAGGCACGAAGGCUAGGGGAGCGAACG